CCUGCAGGCCAGCAGCAGGGACGGACUCACCUCCCUGUGCCCUCUCCCAGCAGAUGACCUCAGCCCUCACAGUUGAAGAAGUUGGUAAGAAACUGACAAUUUGGUGUAGGAAAAUUUAAAAAACUGUCAGCAAGUUCACUGAAUAACAUUUGGAGGACUUCAUUAUGAAAAAGGGAUCAGGCCAUUCAUUCAUUCCUUAAGCAUUUAUGGCGUGCCCACCAGGUGCCCAAAGUGUGCUCCAAAGAGGCACAGGUGAGGCCACAGGAUCUGUCCUCAGAUCCGGAUUUCACAGCCCAGUGGAGGAAGUGAUGUCUAACAAGGCCUGCAGGCAUGCGGAGGGAGUGCCCGCUGGAACCCAGGGCCAGGACAGGGCCUGUGCAGAGGAGUCCACCUUCAGCAAGACGGACCACCAAUACUCUGCGACUUAGAGAAGGAGACUGAGGAAUAAAUGCCCAGACCGUACUCCGCUCCUGCCCUCCUGGUUUCCUGCCAGAGUCUCCCCUUGUCUGAAGCCAACCUGAAGACACCCCUUGAGGACCCCUUCACUGUACUGGGACCAUGGGGGGCUGAGCCUCUGGGAUCAGUCACCUCCCUAACCUCCUGCAUGAGGAACAACUUGACGAACACACAUUUCAACCUGUAACAGGGUGGACAAGCAGAACCCUUCUUCAGAAGCACAUUUAUGAAGUUCCCGCAGUAACUGGCUCAGAGAGAAAUGCUGCUGUAACAGCUGAGAGAAAACUGAUAACCCUGAAAAUAAAGUGUCCAUGGAAAUCUCA
Long non-coding RNA from Homo sapiens (human), 779 nucleotides. RefSeq lists it as uncharacterized. NCBI's taxonomy places the organism in Eukaryota, Metazoa, Chordata, Mammalia, Primates, Hominidae. The record is from RefSeq and is a predicted model, not a curated record. The transcript is spliced from 2 exons.